RNAcentral lists this ribosomal RNA (274 nucleotides) under uncultured bacterium. Its description in RNAcentral is "partial 16S ribosomal RNA". It matches the Rfam family "Bacterial small subunit ribosomal RNA", at positions 523 to 796 of the family's 1533-position model. The record is from RNAcentral.
CUACGGAGGGUGCAAGCGUUAAUCGGAAUUACUGGGCGUAAAGCGUACGUAGGCGGUUCGUUAAGUUAGAUGUGAAAGCCCCGGGCUUAACCUGGGAACUGCAUUUAAAACUGGCGGACUAGAGUUGAGUAGAGGGGAGUGGAAUUUCAGGUGUAGCGGUGAAAUGCGUAGAGAUCUGAAGGAACACCAGUGGCGAAGGCGACUCCCUGGACUCGAACUGACGCUGAGGUACGAAAGCGUGGGUAGCAAACGGGAUUAGAUACCCCAGUAGUCC